Molecule: ribosomal RNA, 450 nt
Filed under: uncultured bacterium
Lineage: Bacteria
Description: partial 16S ribosomal RNA
Rfam family: Bacterial small subunit ribosomal RNA
Source: RNAcentral
GUGGGGAAUAUUGGACAAUGGGGGGAACCCUGAUCCAGCCAUGCCGCGUGUGUGAAGAAGGUCUUCGGAUUGUAAAGCACUUUAAGUUGGGAGGAAGGGCAGUAAGUUAAUACCUUGCUGUUUUGACGUUACCGACAGAAUAAGCACCGGCUAACUUCGUGCCAGCAGCCGCGGUAAUACGAAGGGUGCAAGCGUUAAUCGGAAUUACUGGGCGUAAAGCGCGCGUCGGUGGUUUUGUAAGUUGGAGGUGAAAUCCCCGGGCUCAACCUGGGAACUGCCUCCAAAACUGCAUGACUAGAGUACGGUAGAGGGUAGUGGAAUUUCCUGUGUAGCGGUGAAAUGCGUAGAUAUAGGAAGGAACACCAGUGGCGAAGGCGACUACCUGGACUGAUACUGACACUGAGGUGCGAAAGCGUGGGGAGCAAACAGGAUUAGAUACCCCGGUAGUCC